UUAAGUUAGAAAGGGCGCACGGUGGAUGCCUUGACACUAGGAGUCGAUGAAGGACGGGACUAACGCCGAUAUGCUUCGGGGAGCUGUAAGUAAGCUUUGAUCCGAAGAUUUCCGAAUGGGGAAACCCACCAUACGUAAUGGUAUGGUAUCCUUAUCUGAAUACAUAGGGUAAGGAAGACAGACCCAGGGAACUGAAACAUCUAAGUACCUGGAGGAAGAGAAAGCAAAUGCGAUUUCCUGAGUAGCGGCGAGCGAAACGGAACAUAGCCCAAACCAAGAGGCUUGCCUCUUGGGGUUGUAGGACAUUCUAUACGGAGUUACAAAGGAACGAGGUAGACGAAGCGACCUGGAAAGGUCCGUCGUAGAGGGUAACAACCCCGUAGUCGAAACUUCGUUCUCUCUUGAAUGUAUCCUGAGUACGGCGGAACACGUGAAAUUCCGUCGGAAUCUGGGAGGACCAUCUCCCAAGGCUAAAUACUCCCUAGUGAUCGAUAGUGAACCAGUACCGUGAGGGAAAGGUGAAAAGCACCCCGGAAGGGGAGUGAAAGAGAUCCUGAAACCGUGUGCCUACAAAUAGUCAGAGCCCGUUAACGGGUGAUGGCGUGCCUUUUGUAGAAUGAACCGGCGAGUUACGAUCCCGUGCGAGGUUAAGCUGAAGAGGCGGAGCCGCAGCGAAAGCGAGUCUGAAUAGGGCGUUUAGUACGUGGUCGUAGACCCGAAACCAGGUGAUCUACCCAUGUCCAGGGUGAAGUUCAGGUAACACUGAAUGGAGGCCCGAACCCACGCACGUUGAAAAGUGCGGGGAUGAGGUGUGGGUAGCGGAGAAAUUCCAAUCGAACCUGGAGAUAGCUGGUUCUCCCCGAAAUAGCUUUAGGGCUAGCCUUAAGUGUAAGAGUCUUGGAGGUAGAGCACUGAUUGGACUAGGGGUCCUCAUCGGAUUACCGAAUUCAGUCAAACUCCGAAUGCCAAUGACUUAUCCUUAGGAGUCAGACUGCGAGUGAUAAGAUCCGUAGUCAAAAGGGAAACAGCCCAGACCGCCAGCUAAGGUCCCAAAGUGUGUAUUAAGUGGAAAAGGAUGUGGAGUUGCUUAGACAACUAGGAUGUUGGCUUAGAAGCAGCCACCAUUUAAAGAGUGCGUAAUAGCUCACUAGUCGAGUGACUCUGCGCCGAAAAUGUACCGGGGCUAAAUACACCACCGAAGCUGCGGAUUGAUACCGAAUGGUAUCAGUGGUAGGGGAGCGUUCUAAGGACAGUGAAGUCAGACCGUAAGGACUGGUGGAGUGCUUAGAAGUGAGAAUGCCGGUAUGAGUAGCGAAAGACGGGUGAGAAUCCCGUCCACCGAAUGCCUAAGGUUUCCUGAGGAAGGCUCGUCCGCUCAGGGUUAGUCAGGACCUAAGCCGAGGCCGACAGGCGUAGGCGAUGGACAACAGGUUGAUAUUCCUGUACCACCUCUUUAUCGUUUGAGCAAUGGAGGGACGCAGAAGGAUAGAAGAAGCGUGCGAUUGGUUGUGCACGUCCAAGCAGUUAGGCUGAUAAGUAGGCAAAUCCGCUUAUCAUAAAGGCUGAGCUGUGAUGGGGAAGCUCCUUAUGGAGCGAAGUCUUUGAUUCCCCGCUGCCAAGAAAAGCUUCUAGCGAGAUAAAAGGUGCCUGUACCGCAAACCGACACAGGUAGGCGAGGAGAGAAUCCUAAGGUGUGCGAGAGAACUCUGGUUAAGGAACUCGGCAAAAUGACCCCGUAACUUCGGGAGAAGGGGUGCUUUCUUAACGGAAAGCCGCAGUGAAUAGGCCCAAGCGACUGUUUAGCAAAAACACAGCUCUCUGCGAAGCCGUAAGGCGAAGUAUAGGGGGUGACACCUGCCCGGUGCUGGAAGGUUAAGGAGAGGGGUUAGCGUAAGCGAAGCUCUGAACUGAAGCCCCAGUAAACGGCGGCCGUAACUAUAACGGUCCUAAGGUAGCGAAAUUCCUUGUCGGGUAAGUUCCGACCCGCACGAAAGGUGUAACGAUUUGGGCACUGUCUCAACCAGAGACUCGGUGAAAUUAUAGUACCUGUGAAGAUGCAGGUUACCCGCGACAGGACGGAAAGACCCCGUGGAGCUUUACUGUAGCCUGAUAUUGAAUUUUGGUACAGUUUGUACAGGAUAGGCGGGAGCCUUUGAAACCGGAGCGCUAGCUUCGGUGGAGGCGCUGGUGGGAUACCGCCCUGACUGUAUUGAAAUUCUAACCUACGGGUCUUAUCGACCCGGGAGACAGUGUCAGGUGGGCAGUUUGACUGGGGCGGUCGCCUCCUAAAGUGUAACGGAGGCGCCCAAAGGUUCCCUCAGAAUGGUUGGAAAUCAUUCGUAGAGUGCAAAGGCAUAAGGGAGCUUGACUGCGAGACCUACAAGUCGAGCAGGGACGAAAGUCGGGCUUAGUGAUCCGGUGGUUCCGCAUGGAAGGGCCAUCGCUCAACGGAUAAAAGCUACCCCGGGGAUAACAGGCUUAUCUCCCCCAAGAGUCCACAUCGACGGGGAGGUUUGGCACCUCGAUGUCGGCUCAUCGCAUCCUGGGGCUGUAGUCGGUCCCAAGGGUUGGGCUGUUCGCCCAUUAAAGCGGUACGCGAGCUGGGUUCAGAACGUCGUGAGACAGUUCGGUCCCUAUCCGUCGUGGGCGUAGGAAAUUUGAGAGGAGCUGUCCUUAGUACGAGAGGACCGGGAUGGACGCACCGCUGGUGUACCAGUUGUUCUGCCAAGGGCAUAGCUGGGUAGCUAUGUGCGGAAGGGAUAAGUGCUGAAAGCAUCUAAGCAUGAAGCCCCCCUCAAGAUGAGAUUUCCCAUAGCGUAAGCUAGUAAGAUCCCUGAAAGAUGAUCAGGUUGAUAGGUUCGAGGUGGAAGCAUGGUGACAUGUGGAGCUGACGAAUACUAAUAGAUCGAGGACUUAACCAU
RNAcentral lists this ribosomal RNA (2921 nucleotides) under Streptococcus pneumoniae. RNAcentral describes it as "bacterial LSU rRNA". It matches the Rfam family "Bacterial large subunit ribosomal RNA". The record is from RNAcentral. Lineage: Bacteria; Bacillati; Bacillota; Bacilli; Lactobacillales; Streptococcaceae.